AGGAGGAACAACCCCAGUGGCGGCGGCAGCUCUGGAAUCCUGGAUUCAGCCUCCAUAGGAACUCCGGAGCUCUCCGCCUGCAGGGCCUGGAGGCUCCGGGGUGCG
Molecule: microRNA precursor, 105 nt
Filed under: Canis lupus familiaris (dog)
Lineage: Eukaryota; Metazoa; Chordata; Mammalia; Carnivora; Canidae
Also listed under: 1 other name
Description: mir-8834 microRNA precursor family
Rfam family: mir-8834 microRNA precursor family
Source: Rfam by way of RNAcentral